GACAGAGGGUGAGGAGGCAGCUGAGAACAACAGGGCCAGCAAGCACUUCGCCUCAGGACGUGGGGCCGAGAGAGACCUGUGCACCUUAAGGGCAGGCCAUGAAAUGAACUUUCAUCUAUCACCUUCUCUCUGCCAUGAUGUGCUGUCUUUGCCAGAGGCCCAGGGCAACACCACGACUGGAACCUCUAGAACCAUGAGCCCAAAUUAACCUUUUUUCUUUAUAGGUUUAUAAUCUCAGGUAUUUUGCUACAGUAACAGAAAGCUGAUGAGCAAUGGGUCAAUAAGAAUAGAAUGUAGUUGUUGUUAACAGCCAUACAGAUUAAAAAUUAAUGAUAAUAACAGCAUUCUCUGGGUCCACGUGACUUCUUCCAUCUUUCUUUGCUCCAGCACCAUUUAUGAAACUUGAGUUGUGUGAUGGUCUGAAGGUAUGAGGAGAACUCAUUCAAGUUCUUCAGAGGUCAGGGCCAUGCUGUUUGAUUUUUGAUCCUUUUCUUAGUGAAGUACUCUUUAACAGUUUUCACAAGUUAAUCUGAAAAUUUCUUACAGCAUUUUGCUAAGCACAGCCCUCUAGGAACCUGACUGUACAUCACUGCUUGAAGUAGCCUGACCCCAAACCACUGGGCUCUUCAGGCUGGGUUUCCUGACCCUGCAGAGGCACAAGCCAUACCCUGUAGCUGCACCCUGCAGAUGGCCCCGGGGCAGCACAGAUGGUGACCCACACGGCCAUUAGCACCCUCGAAGAGGAGACUGUGCUCCCUCUACAGCUGCAGAUUUUGCUCACCCUGACCAGGAUGAGCGCCCCCAGCUCUGAGCUCAGUCUGGUUUGCGAGUGCAUCCCUCAUGCGGUAUGAGUGGUGGGGAGCUGGACUAGCAGUCUCCAAGGGCCAGCGCUUCUGAGAUGGCCACAAAGUGACUGUAAGUGCCGCGGGCUGGCUGCUGUGUUCCUGGAUGGAGGUGCUGCAGGCUGAACACACCCUGCUCUAACUUCAUUCUCUGGCACUGGAGGUUUUCAAAGCUGUAACUUUGCUCAUAAAGAUCUUGCUGGAGCUGGCUGUGCGACAUACACUGUUUAUUGGGAAGAAAUUUAAAAGGGAUCGCCUGGGUCGAGUCAUUAUUUCCUAGGAGCCUCCAAGUAAGUAGUCAAUGAAAACUUUGGAAACCUUAGACUGAUGCUUUUACAUGACAGUAAUUCACUGUAACGUGGUUUUAGCCGUUCAUUCACUUGCUGCUUCUGUUUUACAACAGCGAAGACGAGAAAGUGGCUACGUACUGAUUUAUGCCGUCCCUCCGUCUGGUUCUAUCAAACACAUACUUCCCUGUGUGCACCCUGGGAAAUACAAGUGCCUUUAAAGCUUUUCCCUCCAAGUUCCUCGUCCCACAGCUCUAAGCCUCGUAGUCCCUGCCUCUCUGCACAUAAAUUCCCUGCCACUGUCUCCAUCGCCACCAGCAGUGCAGACUGUCCUGUCCACUUGUGGUUUGCGUCACGUCAGGGAGCCGAGGUCCCCUUGGUGAGUCUCUGGGCACCGUGUUACUCUGGGUAGGCCCGCGUGACCUCGUCUUCUGGCUGAAGACAGCGAUUAGGCCACUGGGCGAGGAAGAUCCUUGGGGCACGCUCCAGGCACGGCGCUAGGAUCACACACUCCAGAUUACAACCUGAGCCGGGGAGAAAACCAAGCCAGGCCGGUCGUGCUCCCUCAGCAGCAUGCACAGCCGGUGAGCAAGGCCUGGGCCUCUGGCUCUUUGGCCGGAUGCUGGAGCCCAUGGGCUCUCCUCGGGGAGCGGUCUCCUUCGGGAAGGGUCAGGCGCAGUUCUGAUUUCACAAAGGAAGGAAAGAGAUAGACGGGUAACGUCCCUCCACCUGGGGUUCUGUUCCAUAUCCCGCUUCCACCUGGAAGGAGCGGCCCUGCAAGACCUUGGUUUUGCUCAGUGCUACUUAGCAAGGUCUCGCAGGCUUGCUGUGCUCAGGGGCUCAGCCGUGCGCCUGGCUCCGCUGUGACCUGGUGCCUGGCCAUUGUUCUCUCCUGUGGCCAACGUUUGUCGCCCCAGGUCCUGUGCUGGGACUCAGACUCUGCCUCGCUCCUGCAGGAUGAACAGUACAGCGGGGUCUCGGCACAUUCUGCUUUGGAAAGGGGCCAGCUGGGGUUUUCGUGGCCAACUCUGCCCCCUACUGGCAGAUUUCAGAUCUCCCAGGCGGCACAUGUGUUUAUCUUACGUGCUUACUAUGCCUGCCACAGUCACCCACGGUGUCACGGGGCUCCUCUGACUAACCAACAGAGGGAAGGAGCUCGCCCCACAUCCUCUGUGCUUUCCUGUCCUGCCGCAGCAAGCUCUCUGGGACACGCGGUCUCCUGUUACACAAGGACGCACUAUGCUUCACCUUGCGCAGAGAGAAUUUCUGCACACUGGUUUCAGGCAGGGAAGGCUCCAUAACACAGGAGGUCUGACGUCGUCCCAGGAUUAUAGGAUUGGACGCUGUACCCAAAAACAGGUCAUUCAGAAAACAGUCGAGCGGAGAAAACGUGCUGUGGAGGGCACAGCUCUCAGCAUGACGGCAGGUCCUCCGCCUCCAGAUCUCCAGGCUGGCGCUGUGAGCAGGGACCAGGGUGCUGCUGUCCCAGCUGACCGAGCCGUGCUUCUCACGGCUCCACCGUGCCGCGCUAGUCUCUUCCUGUCUGUUCAACACCACAGUAUCCAACGGUGCAUCAGAGAGGCUGCCUGUCUCUAAGGGAACUGAGCAGGUAACACACAGAAGGCAAGUACUUCUGCCCUGCUCUAGGGAGAGCAAGGAGCGAAAUGGCAGCGACUGGAGAAUCCACCUGAACCAUGAGGCUGCCGGGGAGACACAGCAGCCGCCAGUGUAAGGGGUCUGUCCAGCCCCUUGUGCGCCAACGCCUUGGCCCGGGGUUGCACCAUUAUGCCCGGCGGCUGCUGCCUCUUCCUGUCAGGAAGGGCUGGGUGCAUAAUCUUGGCGGCCCCUAAAAGUCCUUGGGGCGCUGGCACGACACCCCGACACUAAGCGACACUCACAAGAGCUGCCGCACAUCCCCAGGGCUGGGCCUGGCAUGUGCAUUGUGCUGUUUAAGUUCCUCCCGGGAGUCUGGUGCAGGAAUGCUGCAGACAGUGAGUGAGGUGGCCACCACCCACUCUCAGACCUGUGAUCACGUCACCUCCGAAUAUAAGCUGGCCACACAUGGAUUCUCCUCUUCGGCGUUAUUUCACUAUAGCGAAUGAAAUAACCCAGCUGUCCUUCCGGCCCUUAAAACCCUGGGUGUCACAGUUCUAAUGUUAAGUAGGCGUUGGCUUAAGAAGGAAUUGAAAUAUUUCACCACCCUGACAUAAUUUUCACUUUUAAUCUCUUUUUUUUUUUGGUUUUUCUCCGGUACCGGGAACCGAACUCACGACCUUGCACUUGCCAGGCAGGCGCUUUUGCCGCUGAGCUAAAUCCCCAGCCCCUUCCACUUUUAAUCUCUAUGGAAAUAAUAAAUCAGUAAUUCAAUUUUAAUGCAAGAAACUGGGUGGGAAACCUGAAAUUUGAACACAAUUCUGUGCAGUUUGGUGGCAUAACCAUUCUAAUUUAUUUGUGGCACAAAUAAAAAUCAUUUGGGGGGAGUCUGGUGUUUAAAAAAAGCAAUAACCCUUUGCAGGUAAUAAUGUUUUCUCCCCAUGAACAUAUUUCUUACAGUGUGUAUAUAGUCUACUGAUUUGCCAAUACAACUUUUAAAAGCCCAGUCUGCUGUAGAGAAUAUGAAAACUUUAUUUGUUAUUUCAAUACCAUUUCUUCCUCCUUGGUUCCACCUCAAGAAGCACAGACAGCAUCCUCUGUCAAAUAAAUCCUGGGACUCUACGCGGUGGAGCUACGAAAUUAGAAGGAAACAUGUAGCUUUUGCACCUUCAGAUCAGGGGCAGAAUUCCAGAUCCUAGGAAGCUUUUCAGGGUGUAAUUUGUUGGAACAGUUGCUGUUCACCUGGCAUAGCAGCACCUAGAAUGUGGCAGGGGGAGUCUACCGCUCGCUUCAAAAAUGAAAUAUGACACAAACAGCUUCCUGAAGACUACAACACGUCUGAGUUUCAGAUUUGAUUGGUAGAAGCUAAAGAAGUGCUCAUUUUGUGACUAUUCAUGGCCCAUGCCCUGAGAUCUUUUAUGAAACUGAAGCCUUUACAUAAAGCGCAGCAAGUGGAUGACUGCGGGAAGAAUCCAGCCUGCAGGCGGACCCCGCUCACUCUGCCACAUGACGCCAGGCUG
Long non-coding RNA from Chinchilla lanigera (long-tailed chinchilla), 4242 nucleotides. RefSeq lists it as uncharacterized. The transcript is spliced from 3 exons. The record is from RefSeq and is a predicted model, not a curated record. Lineage: Eukaryota; Metazoa; Chordata; Mammalia; Rodentia; Chinchillidae.